CAGUCGAGCGAGAAAGUGACUUCGGUCGCGAGUAAAGCGGCGAACGGGUGACUACAACGUGGAUAAUCUACCCUAGGGUCUGGGACAACCCCGAGAAAUCGGGGCUAAUACCGGAUAAGACCACAGUAUCCGAGGAUACAGCGGUAAAAGAUUUAUCGCCCUUGGAUGAGUCCACGCCCCAUCAGGUAGUUGGUAAGGUAAAGGCUUACCAAGCCUAAGACGGGUAGCCGGCCUUAGCGGGUGAACGGCCACAUGGGGACUGAGACACGGCCCUGACUCCUACGGGAGGCAGCAGUGGGGAAUAUUGGGCAAUGGGCGAAAGCCUAACCCAGCGAUGCCGCGUGAGGGAUGAAGGCCUUCGGGUUGUAAACCUCUGUCAGGAGGGACGAUGGGACACUUGUGUCUUGACGGUACCUCCAGAGGAAGCCCCGGCUAACUCCGUGCCAGCAGCCGCGGUAAUACGGAGGGGGCAAGCGUUGCUCGGAAUUACUGGGCGUAAAGGGUCCGCAUGCUGUCAGGCAAGUUAAUUGUUAAAGCUCAA
RNAcentral lists this ribosomal RNA (541 nucleotides) under uncultured bacterium. RNAcentral describes it as "bacterial SSU rRNA". It matches the Rfam family "Bacterial small subunit ribosomal RNA", at positions 59 to 605 of the family's 1533-position model. The record is from RNAcentral.